AUCGAUGAAGAACGCAGCGAAAUGCGAUAAGUAAUGUGAAUUGCAGAAUUCAGUGAAUCAUCGAAUCUUUGAACGCACCUUGCGCUCCUUGGUAUUCCGAGGAGCAUGCCUGUUUGAGUGUCAUAAAACUCUCAACUCCUAAUGGUUUUUAUUAAUUGUUAGUGAUGUUGGAUUUGAAUGUUGCUGGCUUUUAUUAGUCGGCUCGUUCGAAAAGUGUUAGCUGGAUCCCUUUUCUUCUUGGUUCCACUCGGCGUGAUAAGUAUCUUCGUCGAGGACAACUGACUUCGGUUAGUUGGCCAGGAUAAAUUGGUUGAACUGCUUCUAAUUCUUAGACUUAAAAUCUAAACUUUUAUGCUCUGGCCUCAAAUCAGGUAGGAUUACCCGCUGAACUUAAGCAUAUCAAUAAGCGGAGGAAAAGAAACUAACAAGGAUUCCCCUAGUAACGGCGAGUGAAGCGGGAUGAGCUCAAAUUUAAAAUCUAGCAGCCUCAGGUUGUUCGAGUUGUAGUCUAGAGAAGCGUUUUCCGUGUUGGCCUGUGUACAAGUCCCUUGGAAUAGGGCGUCAUAGAGGGUGAGAAUCCCGUCCUUGACACAGAUCCCAAUGCUUUGUGAUACGCUCUCAAAGAGUCGAGUUGUUUGGGAAUGCAGCUCAAAAUGGGUGGUAAAUUCCAUCUAAAGCUAAAUAUUGGCGAGAGACCGAUAGCGAACAAGUACCGUGAGGGAAAGAUGAAAAGCACUUUGGAAAGAGAGUUAAACAGUACGUGAAAUUGUUGAAAGGGAAACGAUUGAAGUCAGUCAUGCUUCUCUAGAUUCAGCCUGGUCUCCAGGUGUAUUUCUAGUUUUGCAGGCCAGCAUCAGUUUUGUUUGGUGGAAAAAGCUUGAGGAACGUGGCAUCUUCGGAUGUGUUAUAGCCUCUCUGCACAUACAUCAGAUGGGACUGAGGAACGCAGGGUGCCUUUAUGGUCGGUCUUCGGAUACGCACGCCCUUAGGAUGCUGGCAUAAUGGCUUUAAACGACCCGUCUUGAAACACGG
RNAcentral lists this ribosomal RNA (1032 nucleotides) under uncultured fungus. RNAcentral describes it as "eukaryotic LSU rRNA". The stretch from base 358 to 1032 matches the Rfam family "Eukaryotic large subunit ribosomal RNA", at positions 1 to 664 of the family's 3401-position model. The record is from RNAcentral. Lineage: Eukaryota; Fungi.